This is a non-coding RNA of Petromyzon marinus (sea lamprey), 5267 nucleotides long. NCBI's taxonomy places the organism in Eukaryota, Metazoa, Chordata, Hyperoartia, Petromyzontiformes, Petromyzontidae. The record is from RefSeq and is a predicted model, not a curated record.
GUGAAUAUGGGAUGGCGGUGGGGGUAAUGGAACUAUCCAGUAGAAACGAUGACAUCGCCCCACCAACCGCACGCACGCACCCGUGCACACGCACGCGCGUGUGUGUGUGUAGCCUGUUGCAUACGUGGUCGGGAUUUGCGCGCAAUAAAACGCGGUAGUUAACACGCGGCGCGAUGACUUCUCCCCCCCCCCCCGCCGCCGCCACCCGCGUUAGUUUGCGAGCGCCUAUUUGGCACGGCGCGGUCGCGUUCCGAACUUGCGCGCGGCUAACGCGGGUCUCGUCGGCGCGUGCCCCGUUGCUCCCAACAGGUUUACUCUCUCGCGUUGUCGGGCCGAGAUCAUCGAAGGUGGGAUCGGUGCCAAACGUUGUGUAUUCGUACCGGCCGUGCCAUUAAAUGCGAUGUUUUAUUGAUUAUUAUUAUUAUGUUUUUUUGCGGGUACCGAAUAUCAAUCGGUUCGCCCAUCACCAUGCCACGCGCGCUCUCUCUCUCUCUCUGCCUUGCGCACCUGCGCGCGCGAACGCACGCACGCGUGCAUUUACAGCGGCGGAAUGGAGGUGGCGCAGUGGUGAAGCCCACGGCUCACAACACAUCAGGAGUGCGGGGAGGCUUGAUACCCUCGUAGGCUCUCAACGCCUCCCCCACAAACAUGCACACGUCGGCGUGGGCUAAGCUGUAUGGUGGGUUCGACGUAUGGUCCGCGCAAGCCGUCGCACGACACACGAGGUGCCCAGGACGGUUCAUCCAGCGGUGGAUUGACAAACGGGACUGACUUGCACAGCGGAUGCAGCACUCUCACGGCACUAUUCAACGCGGAGAUGAGAAGCUCAGCCGCGUCGAACCGCGUACAGCCGAGACAAGGCAGACUUCAUUGGUCACAGGGUUUGUUUGACCAUACUUCACCACGCUGGGGUGCCCACGGCCGCUCCACAUACCGCUGGGCACUCAUCUCAGCUGCGGCAGGGAAUCGGGACUGGGGUCGCUGGGAUCAUCGGGCGGCGCGCGAACUGCUGCGCCACUGUUCCCCACACCAUCGCAGGCUGCCAUGACCGAUUGGCUUGAAGGUGGUGGUGGGGCUGCAUCGCUUGUGCAGCUCUAGCAGACAGUGAUGCAUAGGGCGCCAUGGUGUUGAGAUGUUAGGACCUCGCCUGGUAUACAGGAGGUCGUGGGUUUGAUCCCGACCCUGACGCGUAUUUUGAUUUUGCAUGAUUUUUAUUCUAGGUUCUCUGGUUUUUCACUCCACAUUUAGAAACAUGCGUUUUGAGCACUUGGCUGCAAAUACACUUCCACGCAAUAAGCCACUUCGUUGAGCCAUCAUUUGUCACUCGGUCGCUAUUGUUAAUAGUUAAAUGGUUACUUAAUGUGAAAAAGAAAAAACCUUGAACAAAACAUUUCAAAACGACGUGAUUUGCGAAGCAAUCAUUAUUUCCUAUUCAAGGCUCCUGAUAAAUAUUUAAUUUCCACAGCAUUAUUUAUACAUUUUCUAGCAUAUUCCACAAUGUAAAAAUAAAGCGAAAAAAACCCGCGUUCGACCGAUUGGAAGUAAUCUGGGGAAUGACGUCAUUCCAGAAAAGUCACGGAGUUUACGGGACCCAAAUAGGACGGCAAAGGAAAAGCCUGCUGCGAGGGAUCUCCGAGGGCACGAGUGUUAUUCGCUCGUCCUCUGAAGCCAGCAGCUGGAUUUACAGCCUAGACAUCGAUUUCUACUAUACUGGUUACUCAGUGCGUACCCUAUGAACGAGAGUGAGGCCACAACAACAGCCCCCCUAAGGUCCGUGGGCUUUUUCGUAAGCAAGGCUGCCCCCGACACAUCGUUGACCACCUUGUGUAAGGGCGACCUCGCUGAGAAGAAGAACAUUUGCAAGUGGGAUGCUGCCACGGUGUGAUAAUAGUUUGCACUUGCAAUCCAGAGGUCACCGGUUCGAUUCGACCUCCUUGCGCAGUAGUGUCUCAAACAGUGGGGCAAGUUUCUCAAAUCUUCCCUCCUCCUCACGUCUUUCCACCCAGGUGUUUAAAUGGGUUUCCACGUCAGUCGCUUGACAGAUCGUGUAAUCGUGGCGCAAACUGUGGGCACUCACACUCGGGCCAGCGUAGAAAAAUACCUCAAAUGCCCUCUACAAGGACCCUCUCGAGCUCCCUCUAGUGGAGGACCUUCGGCCAACAGUGGCGGCAGAGCGAGCAAUUCAUGGGCUGUCCAUUUAUUUAUCCCAGCACUGAAAGGGCGGCGCCAGAAUGUUUUUGUGCUGAGCAUUUGCCGAGCGCCAAUGGCAAAUACCAAGCAAUCUGUCCGUGCCUGACCCGCCCGUGUCGCGACACAAACACUUGUCGCCAACUGUGACUGGAGUUGUCACUUGGCUGGGAGUGAGGGCUUGCCAAGGUAGUUUUGCCAAAGUGUUGCCAGAGGCACAAUAAAUGGCAAAUGUAACAAACUCAAGCCGGUUUGCCACUGAAUUGAGCGACGGGAAGUCCACGUUCCAAUGGUCUUUCCGUACGAAACAAACUGGUGACUUCUCCACAAGACGGUACCGUUUUGUUUGCUUCACCCUUGAGAGAUGGAGGAGUGAAUCGACCCUGACUGGGAUUUGAACUAAACAAUUCAUCUAUUGCAAGCCAUGCACUCUACAGCUGCAUCACCCAGCCACAUGUGCAAAGUAAAGAAAAUUGCAAAUACGUGACAUUGUUUGUGUCACUUUGUUUAGGUGUGGAAGUGUGAAUUUGUCAUGUCAAAUUCAUUUUUGUUAAUUCUCAGAGCUAGAAUAAGCCACAUUCUAUGAGCAUCCAAAUGUAAUAUGGUGUUUUAUUGUGCGGUCUUUGGCGACUUAGCCAAGACCAUCAAAUCACUAGACUUGUAGAACCUCGGACGCUUGUCAGGAUCUCAACGAUGCCAGCUCAGCAGAUCUGGGUGAUCUUGGUCUGGCCCAGACUGUUGGAACGUGAGAUUGCUCUCCAAAGUCAACAACCUUCACAGGCCAACCGAUCUUACCAGCUUAAUGGCUUUGCACGGCGGUGCCUUGCCCCCCACCCCCCCCAGCCCUCCGGCCUUCCUAGAAAUAUUGUGGGAGGCAGCACGGUCACAACGUAUGUACUGCAGGCAUGUAUGGAUGUUGAACUUCUUUCGCACCGUACGCAGCCAACCGUGCUUAUCGGAGGUGUGGGGGAAGGACAACAAUCCGAGGUAGAUUCGGCCCAGUCUUAAAAUGCUUGGCAGAGUCAGUCUGGUGGCUGAUCUCUCGGGCCGUGGCCUGGUGACGCACACCCAGCGCUGCUGCUCAGUUCUCUCAUGUGGAUUUGGCCCUCGUUUGUCCACCUGACCGACUGUCACACCACUCCCUGGUUCAUAAAAAAAAGCACCAUGGCAAGUUUAAUUUUCAAUAUUAACUCGUUGAGGCACGGUUUUGCAACGCAGGUGUCCUUAUGGCCACUUACUAUACAUUUGUUUUGCUUGUGACCUGCAUUUCACCUCUGACGUGUGCCUGAAUAUGUUACUCAGAACUAAUUUGUUGAAAAGCAACUACAGAGAAGAAGAAAAAAACUGUCCAAGUCAUUGAGGUACAUUCAUAUUUAGUGUUAUUCAAAACUGUAAUUUAUUUCAGCUCAACGAUGCAUAUUGUAGUUUCAAUGUUCUUAUUUGAAAGUUAAAAAAAAACUAUUAAGCUCGGUGAUGGGUUUCUUACCAUUUAUGCUUAUAUUAAAUAUAUAAUUUGAGGUUGAUAAACGCAAGGCAAUGCGGCAUAUAAAAUGCAUCAAUACUUUUCCACACGGACCACAUUACACCUUCCACUGGGUGUUUACCACUUAGCCAACCACCUUUUAAUUAGUUGCUUGACGAGCAUUUAUAAAAUAAGGAAUUCAAGGACAAAGUCACGAAUGUAAAUUAUACGGUAUAAAACAGCCCUUUAUCAUGGGGGUUGCUUGACCAUCCAUACUUCACCAUGCUGGUCAGUUUCGGUUGGUAAAGGGGGUAGAACCCAGAACCGGUUCGGAUAUCAUACAUCGCUGAUGUUGGUCAUGGCUGGGAAUAUAACUCGAUUCUGUGUGUCCGUAGCGCUGUUCCACUCACUGCUGGGUAGAUCUUUGAAGUGCCUUCCACUGAAGCCAAAUGCACUUCGCUUGACCUCACCAUGGUUCACUUCAAUUUAUUUGGUGAUUGCGAUCUAAAUUGGUUACGCGGCUAUUACAUUUAACCACAAUUACCAUUCCAAUAUUCAGCGAUAUGUAAUGCUUGAAAAACACAUGGGUUUGUUAAGCUGUAAAUAAUGCACCAAACGGUUCCCUAUUUGCAUUCCCUUAAUCGAGGAUAGGGUAACAACAGCAGCAUCUAAAGCAUUGCUUCUCUGCAUUCCCAGAGGACGUGCUCCCGUAAACCUCUAAUUUUUUUUUUCCCCCGUGCACUGCUUUGGGGAGGAAUACGUGUCACCGACAGCAUCUCUAAAAAUACAUAUUGAAAUGCUUCUCAAGGACGGUGAAGGUCAAAGGCUGCAACGGUUGCAGCGUCCGCAUCAACAACGCGGCAUGCAGCAUAUGGGCAGCAGCCAAAGGGAUGUUGGGUGGAAUGAGCGGGCUACGUUGUACGUUGCAAUUAAAGGGACACGGCAUCUCAACAAGGAAUGCGACACGCUUGAAACAUUAAGAGGGGUUUUUUUUUGUUGCUUGAAUUUACAAUGCAUUGUCCGCAUUGUGGAGCCUACAAAAAGAAAAAUCUUGCGUUUCUCGCCGCUGCAUUUGUGGCAUCGCUCAAAUUGCCCACCAUUAUGUACUCCGCACGCAUUAGCCCCUCGCGAACUCGGAUUUCUCCCUGGGCUCUUCGCGAAUGCAGCGAGCACCCCCACUUUACCGCUUGUCGACAAUCAUUGGAUAGAUAAUGUUCGAGACACUUCUGCAAUUCAACAGCUUCUUUCUCAAAGCCCCGGUUGCUAUAACGGAGGGUAGCGCUCAUCAAAAUGACCUUUGAACACACCGCGUACUCAUUCAGAUACAGAACUCAUGCAGCACAUGUCAACCUUUCGUCCAGCGUGAAUUCUAUUGCAAAAGAGGAAUAUUGUCACAACCUGUGAAAGUAUCAGCUUCUUUCUGACUGUUGUUCAUCAAGAACACCAAUCGAGUUAUGGAAUUGAUGUUGUAGAAAUGCCUUUCUGGGACACCCUGGGACUAAAAGCUGGUCUUGGCCUACAUGAGCAAGAUUUUCCACUGUAGCAAGGCCGUAAUUAUAAAUAUAUAUUGGGGGGGGACACAUCCCCCCCCCCCAUAUUCAAAUAUGCUCAAAAUGUC